RNAcentral lists this ribosomal RNA (373 nucleotides) under uncultured organism. RNAcentral describes it as "partial 16S ribosomal RNA". It matches the Rfam family "Bacterial small subunit ribosomal RNA", at positions 527 to 896 of the family's 1533-position model. The record is from RNAcentral.
GUAGGUGGCAAGCGUUGUCCGGAAUUAUUGGGCGUAAAGCGCGCGCAGGUGGGGUCUUUAAGUCUGAUGUGAAAGCCCCCGGGCUCAACCGGGGAGGGUCAUUGGAAACUGGGGAACUUGAGUGCAGGAGAGGAAAGUGGAAUUCCACGUGUAGCGGUGAAAUGCGUAGAUAUGUGGAGGAACACCAGUGGCGAAGGCGACUUUCUGGCCUGUAACUGACACUGAGGCGCGAAAGCGUGGGGAGCAAACAGGAUUAGAUACCCUGGUAGUCCACGCCGUAAACGAUGAGUGCUAAGUGUUGGGGGGUUUCCGCCCCUCAGUGCUGCAGCUAACGCAUUAAGCACUCCGCCUGGGUAGUACGGUCGCAAGACUG